Molecule: small nucleolar RNA, 107 nt
Organism: Abrus precatorius (Indian licorice)
Lineage: Eukaryota; Viridiplantae; Streptophyta; Magnoliopsida; Fabales; Fabaceae
Product: small nucleolar RNA snoR97
Exons: 1
Source: RefSeq, a predicted model, not a curated record
CCUUUUCAAGUGGUUCAUGGUCUGAAAAACUCAAAGACUUAGUGUUGUCAUCAGCUUCAUCUCUUGUUUUACCCACGAGAUAGGAGUUAAAUAACAGCACUACAUUU